UGGGGAAUAUUGGACAAUGGGCGCAAGCCUGAUCCAGCCAUGCCGCGUGAGUGAUGAAGGCCUUAGGGUUGUAAUGCUCUUUUUGGCGGGGACGAUAAUGACGGUACCCGCAGAAUAAGCCCCGGCUAACUUCGUGCCAGCAGCCGCGGUAAUACGAAGGGGGCUAGCGUUGUUCGGAAUUACUGGGCGUAAAGCGCACGUAGGCGGAUCAGCAAGUCAGGGGUGAAAUCCCGGGGCUCAACCUCGGAACUGCCUCUGAUACUGCUAGUCUAGAGUCCGGAAGAGGUGGGUGGAAUUCCUAGUGUAGAGGUGAAAUUCGCAGAUAUUAGGAAGAACACCGGUGGCGAAGGCGGCCCACUGGUCCGGUACUGACGCUGAGGUGCGAAAGCGUGGGGAGCAAACAGGAUUAGAUACCCGGGUAGUCCCUGAGCGGGCUGGCAAGGCGCAU
RNAcentral lists this ribosomal RNA (448 nucleotides) under uncultured bacterium. RNAcentral's name for it is "bacterial SSU rRNA". It matches the Rfam family "Bacterial small subunit ribosomal RNA", at positions 355 to 825 of the family's 1533-position model. The record is from RNAcentral.